This 1431-nucleotide ribosomal RNA is filed under the name Klebsiella pneumoniae subsp. ozaenae. RNAcentral describes it as "bacterial SSU rRNA". It matches the Rfam family "Bacterial small subunit ribosomal RNA". Lineage: Bacteria; Pseudomonadati; Pseudomonadota; Gammaproteobacteria; Enterobacterales; Enterobacteriaceae. The record is from RNAcentral.
GGGCGGCAGCUACACAUGCAGUCGAGCGGUAGCACAGAGAGCUUGCUCUCGGGUGACGAGCGGCGGACGGGUGAGUAAUGUCUGGGAAACUGCCUGAUGGAGGGGGAUAACUACUGGAAACGGUAGCUAAUACCGCAUAAUGUCGCAAGACCAAAGUGGGGGACCUUCGGGCCUCAUGCCAUCAGAUGUGCCCAGAUGGGAUUAGCUAGUAGGUGGGGUAACGGCUCACCUAGGCGACGAUCCCUAGCUGGUCUGAGAGGAUGACCAGCCACACUGGAACUGAGACACGGUCCAGACUCCUACGGGAGGCAGCAGUGGGGAAUAUUGCACAAUGGGCGCAAGCCUGAUGCAGCCAUGCCGCGUGUGUGAAGAAGGCCUUCGGGUUGUAAAGCACUUUCAGCGGGGAGGAAGGCGUUAAGGUUAAUAACCUUGGCGAUUGACGUUACCCGCAGAAGAAGCACCGGCUAACUCCGUGCCAGCAGCCGCGGUAAUACGGAGGGUGCAAGCGUUAAUCGGAAUUACUGGGCGUAAAGCGCACGCAGGCGGUCUGUCAAGUCGGAUGUGAAAUCCCCGGGCUCAACCUGGGAACUGCAUUCGAAACUGGCAGGCUAGAGUCUUGUAGAGGGGGGUAGAAUUCCAGGUGUAGCGGUGAAAUGCGUAGAGAUCUGGAGGAAUACCGGUGGCGAAGGCGGCCCCCUGGACAAAGACUGACGCUCAGGUGCGAAAGCGUGGGGAGCAAACAGGAUUAGAUACCCUGGUAGUCCACGCCGUAAACGAUGUCGAUUUGGAGGUUGUGCCCUUGAGGCGUGGCUUCCGGAGCUAACGCGUUAAAUCGACCGCCUGGGGAGUACGGCCGCAAGGUUAAAACUCAAAUGAAUUGACGGGGGCCCGCACAAGCGGUGGAGCAUGUGGUUUAAUUCGAUGCAACGCGAAGAACCUUACCUGGUCUUGACAUCCACAGAACUUUCCAGAGAUGGAUUGGUGCCUUCGGGAACUGUGAGACAGGUGCUGCAUGGCUGUCGUCAGCUCGUGUUGUGAAAUGUUGGGUUAAGUCCCGCAACGAGCGCAACCCUUAUCCUUUGUUGCCAGCGGUCCGGCCGGGAACUCAAAGGAGACUGCCAGUGAUAAACUGGAGGAAGGUGGGGAUGACGUCAAGUCAUCAUGGCCCUUACGACCAGGGCUACACACGUGCUACAAUGGCAUAUACAAAGAGAAGCGACCUCGCGAGAGCAAGCGGACCUCAUAAAGUAUGUCGUAGUCCGGAUUGGAGUCUGCAACUCGACUCCAUGAAGUCGGAAUCGCUAGUAAUCGUAGAUCAGAAUGCUACGGUGAAUACGUUCCCGGGCCUUGUACACACCGCCCGUCACACCAUGGGAGUGGGUUGCAAAAGAAGUAGGUAGCUUAACCUUCGGAGGGCGCUACCACUUGAUC